CAACCAGCCAAUUAGCCCACUUCUCUGAAUGUAUUUAUUUCUACAGAAACAUAGAAACAUCUGGCAAUAGUGAUGCCAUUGUAUGAGCCUGAAGAACAACUGAGGUCAUUAAGGCUCCUGAAAGUGGCUACACUA
Small nucleolar RNA from Jaculus jaculus (lesser Egyptian jerboa), 135 nucleotides. Lineage: Eukaryota; Metazoa; Chordata; Mammalia; Rodentia; Dipodidae. The record is from Ensembl.